AUCUGAGACGUAGUUCAUCCUUAUCGGAUUGAAUGGGCUGCUAACAGGUUCCUGGAAAUAGCCCUCCUUUAAGAUCGUACCCUAAACCGACACAGGUGGACUGGUAGAGAAUACCAAGGCGCUUGAGAGAACCACAUUUAAGGAACUCGGCAAAAUACCUCCGUAAGUUCGCGAGAAGGAGGCCCGUUCAGAACGCAAGUUUUGGGCGGGGGCACAAACCAGGGGGUGGCGACUGUUUACUAAAAACACAGGGCUCUGCGAAGUCGUAAGACGACGUAUAGGGUCUGACGCCUGCCCGGUGCCUGAAGGUUAAAAGGAGGAGUGCAAGCUCCGAAUUGAAGCCCAGGUAAACGGCGGCCGUAACUAUAACGGUCCUAAGGUAGCGAAAUUCCUUGUCGGGUAAGUUCCGACCUGCACGAAUGGCGUAACGACUUCCCCGCUGUCUCCAGCAUCGACUCAGUGAAAUUGAAUUCCCCGUGAAGAUGCGGGGUUCCUGCGGUUAGACGGAAAGACCCCGUGCACCUUUACUAUAGCUUUGCAGUGGCAUUAGUGACGGCAUGUGUAGGAUAGGUGGUAGGCUUUGAAGUCCGGGCGCCAGCUCGGAUGGAGCCGUCCUUGAAAUACCACCCUUACCUUUACUGAUGUCUAACCGCGGUCCGUUAUCCGGAUCCGGGACCCUGCAUGGUGGGUAGUUUGACUGGGGCGGUCGCCUCCUAAAGAGUAACGGAGGCGCGCGAUGGUAGGCUCAGGCUGGUCGGAAAUCAGCUGUCGAGUGCAAUGGCAUAAGCCUGCCUGACUGCGAGACGUACAUGUCGAGCAGAGACGAAAGUCGGUCAUAGUGAUCCGGUGGUUCCACGUGGAAGGGCCAUCGCUCAACGGAUAAAAGGUACGCCGGGGAUAACAGGCUGAUCUCCCCCAAGAGUCCAUAUCGACGGGGAGGUUUGGCACCUCGAUGUCGGCUCAUCACAUCC
This 971-nucleotide ribosomal RNA is filed under the name marine metagenome. Its description in RNAcentral is "bacterial LSU rRNA". It matches the Rfam family "Bacterial large subunit ribosomal RNA", at positions 1554 to 2547 of the family's 2925-position model. The record is from RNAcentral.